Molecule: long non-coding RNA, 220 nt
Organism: Saccostrea cuccullata (small rock oyster)
Lineage: Eukaryota; Metazoa; Mollusca; Bivalvia; Ostreida; Ostreidae
Exons: 3
Source: RefSeq, a predicted model, not a curated record
AUGCCCUCGAGGACGCGGUUAUGUGAAGACACGGACUGGAUGCUAUGCAGUGUUUCAUCAGAAGUUCACUUGGCCAGAAGCAGCGAUCUUCUGCUUCGUGGAAGGAGCACGUCUUGUUGAAAUUCGAAAUGGAAAAAAGAACAGAGAUGUGGUGGCAUUAGCAAAAAAGCGAAAACUAGCCGGCAAUAUAUGGAUAGCAGCCAAUGAUAUAAUUCAAGAA